GUGAACGCUGGCGGUAGGCCUAACACAUGCAAGUCGAACGGCAGCACAGUAAGAGCUUGCUCUUACGGGUGGCGAGUGGCGGACGGGUGAGGAAUACAUCGGAAUCUACUUUUUCGUGGGGGAUAACGUAGGGAAACUUACGCUAAUACCGCAUACGACCUACGGGUGAAAGCAGGGGAUCUUCGGACCUUGCGCGAUUGAAUGAGCCGAUGUCGGAUUAGCUAGUUGGCGGGGUAAAGGCCCACCAAGGCGACGAUCCGUAGCUGGUCUGAGAGGAUGAUCAGCCACACUGGAACUGAGACACGGUCCAGACUCCUACGGGAGGCAGCAGUGGGGAAUAUUGGACAAUGGGCGCAAGCCUAAUCCAGCCAUACCGCGUGGGUGAAGAAGGCCUUCGGGUUGUAAAGCCCUUUUGUUGGGAAAGAAAAGCAGCAGGUUAAUACCCCGCUGUUCUGACGGUACCCAAAGAAUAAGCACCGGCUAACUUCGUG
Molecule: ribosomal RNA, 491 nt
Filed under: uncultured bacterium
Lineage: Bacteria
Description: partial 16S ribosomal RNA
Rfam family: Bacterial small subunit ribosomal RNA
Source: RNAcentral